This 732-nucleotide long non-coding RNA is filed under the name Rattus norvegicus (Norway rat). RNAcentral describes it as "long non-coding RNA NONRATT024193". Lineage: Eukaryota; Metazoa; Chordata; Mammalia; Rodentia; Muridae. The record is from RNAcentral.
CACACACACACACACACACACACACACACGUCAGAGGGGAGCGGUUCAAGUGCCAGAGUGUACUGGUUCAGCCCAUGUUAGAGUGUCACAUCCAGCUCUGUCCCAUACACAUGAGUUUCUGGGAAUUUCUGAGUUUAAUGAAUACAAAGACAGAAACCCGAUAAAUAGGCAGGUUGGAGGCAAAAUCAUCCUAUUCUUAUAAGAGUAGAUUUUUGAAUUUUGUGUGUUUAUUCUUGUGCCUCCCAGGCCAAAGAACUACCUCCAAAACCAUCAUCAAGGCCACAGCCAUCACGCCCACCUGUGCAGCUGAAUGCCGGCUCCCAGAGUAAUAGAAAUGAAUAUAAGCUAUAUCCUGAGCUUUCUAGCUAUCAUGAGAAAACUGGCAGUUUGAGUCAGCCAAUAGAAGUGACAGCAUUAUACUCUUUUGAAGGGCAACAGCCCGGGGACUUGAAUUUUCAAGCAGGAGACAGAAUCAUAGUUAUAUCAAAGACCGACUCAAAUUUUGAUUGGUGGGAAGGAAAACUUCGAGGUCAAACUGGAAUUUUCCCAGCCAACUAUGUAACUAUGAAUUAAAGUUCAUACGAUUUUGUUAUUUGAUAAUUACACAAAAACAUUUCUACACAGACAGGAUUCACUAUUUACAUCAGAUUGUUUAAACACACCCUUGCUCUGCAAAUGUUUUUAUCCAGUUGUAAAAUAUUUUCUCUGCAUAUAAAUAAAUGGUUAAAUCAG